GUGCCAGCAGCCGCGGUAAUACCGGCAGCCCGAGUGAUGGCCGAUCUUAUUGGGCCUAAAGCGUCCGUAGCUGGCCGCGCAAGUCCGUCGGGAAAUCCAUCAGCCCAACUGAUGGGCGUCCAGCGGAAACUGUCCGGCUUGGGGCCGGAAGACCCGAGGGGUACGUCCGGGGUAGGAGUGAAAUCCUGUAAUCCUGGACGGACCGCCGGUGGCGAAAGCGCCUCGGGAGGACGGACCCGACAGUGAGGGACGAAAGCCAGGGUCUCGAACCGGAUUAGAUACCCUAGUAGUCC
RNAcentral lists this ribosomal RNA (293 nucleotides) under uncultured bacterium. Its description in RNAcentral is "partial 16S ribosomal RNA". It matches the Rfam family "Archaeal small subunit ribosomal RNA", at positions 455 to 747 of the family's 1478-position model. The record is from RNAcentral.